UUAACCUAUAUCCACAUUAUAACUGUGAGGGAACAAUUUAUAUUAAUUAAAAUUUUCCGUAUUGGAAUACCUACCGUGACGAGGCCAACUAGAGCGCAUCUCAAGUGAAGUAUAUAAUAUACAACAUUCCUUUUAAAUUAUGGUUGUGAUUAAUAACUUAAUAGGUAACUUCGGAAAGUAUCAAUUAUUUCUGUGUAUUAUAGUUUUCAUGAGUAAAUUUGGCGUUGCUUUCCACCAAAUGGCAAUUAUAUUUUUGGCGCCACCGAUCAAAUAUACCUGUCCUGCAAAUGAAACUUGCUGCAAUGAUCCUGUAUUUGAUAAAUCUAUCUUCCCUCGUACUAUAGUCAUGGAAUGGAACUUGAUAUGUGAAAAUUCGUGGCUAAAAGAUCUUACGCAAAUGCUCUUUCAGUUUGGGGUUUUAAGCGGAAGUCUUUUAUUUGGUAUAAUGUCCGACAGGUAUGGAAGACGUCCCACACUCGUGUUUUCUGUGGUACUAGAGGUAUUUACUGGAGUCAUAUCAUCCUUCCUUCCGACGUACUGGAGUUUUACAAUCGUUCGUAUGAUCCUUGGAAUGUCUGUGGGAGGAAUUAUGGUCGUCGGCUUCGUUCUUGUAAUGGAAUACGUAGGAGGAGUCUGCAGAGAUAUCAUAUCAGCACUAUUCCAUGUUCCCUUUGCGCUUGGCCACAUACUACUAGCCCUAUUCGGAUAUUUAAUAAGAGAUUACGUACAUUUUCAAUUGGGUAUAUCCUUGGCUAAUAUGGUUCUAUUGUCUUAUAUUUGCAUUCUACCUGAAUCACCUAGAUGGCUUCUAGCAGCUAAUAAAACGACCAAAGCCAUAGAAUUGAUGGAACAAGUUGCAAAAAUCAAUAAUCUUCCAACAAACGAUAUAGAUCGUCAAAUUCAACUAUAUCGCAUCGAACACAUUAGAUUUGGAGACAGGAAAGGAUCAUUUUUGGAUUUGUUCCGAACAAAAAAUCUAAGAAAACACAUUCUGGUGAUGUCUUUCAUUUGGUUUGUGUGUAGCUACUGCUUCUACGGGGUCGUCCACUACAUAAGUCACUUGACUGGUAAUGUUUACAUCAACGUUGUGGCCGGCGGGACUGUCUCUUUGUGCGCGUGCCUCAUUGCAAUUCUACUAGUGAAAGUUAUGAACCGGCGAACAUUAGUAAUUGUACCUAAUAUAUUAUCGAGCCUCUGCUUUUUGUUUAUAAGCCUCAUACCUGAAGGAACGGGAUCUGUAGUUAUGGGUUGUAUGGGGAUACUAUGUUGCUUCUUAGUGUUUGUUGUACUCUAUUUAUAUUGUUCAGAAAUGUUUCCGACGGUAGUUCGCAAUGCGGCGAUAGGAAUUGCCUCAAUGAUGGCUCGGUUAGGCGCUAUGAUAGCCCCGUUUGUUGCUGCUUUGCGGCCACAUGGAAAGUGGUGCGCACCCGUAGCAUUCGGGAUACUACCUUUAAUAGCAGCCCUGCUAUGUUUGCUUUUACCGGAGACUAAGGAUUGCGAAUUAAUGAUGACGAUAGAAGAAGGAGAAUCUCUUGGGAAUCGGGCACGAAGAAACACUGGAACAACAACUGAAGAAGUGACAUAAUCUUCUUAAAUUGCAGUUGUUUACGUUUAAUACUACUUAUGUAAUAUGGUUCUUUGUAAACUUGUUUUACAUUAAAGUAAAGUGCCUCAUUGUCUUGUUUUAUAAGUAAAUGGAUUGUUCAUAAAAUUAUAGCAAUUGAAUUCCGUAUUCAGGCAAAUGCUUCAAAUCAUCAUUUGUCAUAUUAUAGCGUUACACAACUGUAUGAUAAUUGUAUAGAUUUAUUGACUUUGAAAUAAAUUUGUAUGGGUUCUAAUCCAGCGACGGACUUCCUAAGGUUUCCUUAGCGUCCCGUCAGUUUAUGCCUGCCGCCAUGGCAGCGGGCCCUCUCAUUUGUGGUGCUUGGUAUUACACCAUUCUCGCUGGAUUUUACAUUCUGUACUGUCCUGUUAUGUACUUAAUGUUCAUAAAUCAAGUAAUAUAUCGGAAAAUCGUUGAUCUAUUAUUCGCAUUAUGGGAGCUGUAUCCAGUA
Molecule: RNA transcript, 2054 nt
Organism: Colias croceus (clouded yellow)
Lineage: Eukaryota; Metazoa; Arthropoda; Insecta; Lepidoptera; Pieridae
Gene name: lysocardiolipin acyltransferase 1-like
Exons: 4
Source: RefSeq, a predicted model, not a curated record